GGGGGUGACCCGGUUUCGACAGGGGAACUGAAGGUGAUGUUGCGUGUCGAGGUGCCGUUGGCCUCGUAAACAAACGGCAAAGCCAUUUAACUGGCAACCAGAACUACGCUCUCGCUGCUUAAGUGAGAUGACGACCGUGCAGCCCGGCCUUUGGCGUCGCGGAAGUCACUAAAAAAGAAGGCUAGCCCAGGCGAUUCUCCAUAGCCGACGGCGAAACUUUAUGGAGCUACGGCCUGCGAGAACCUGCCCACUGGUGAGCGCCGGCCCGACAAUCAAACAGUGGGAUACACACGUAGACGCACGCUGGACGGACCUUUGGACGGCGGUUCGACUCCGCCCACCUCCACCA
Molecule: non-coding RNA, 349 nt
Organism: Deinococcus radiodurans
Lineage: Bacteria; Thermotogati; Deinococcota; Deinococci; Deinococcales; Deinococcaceae
Rfam family: transfer-messenger RNA
About the family: Bacterial tmRNA, also known as 10Sa RNA or SsrA, is named for its dual tRNA and mRNA-like properties. Its role is to liberate the mRNA from a stalled ribosome.
Source: Rfam